Acanthosepion pharaonis is the source of this 108-nucleotide non-coding RNA. The record is from the annotation of a GenBank genome assembly. NCBI's taxonomy places the organism in Eukaryota, Metazoa, Mollusca, Cephalopoda, Sepiida, Sepiidae.
UUACGGCCAUAUCUCGUUGAAACAACAGUCCCCAUUAAUCACCGAUGUUAAGCAACGAAGAGCCUGAUGAGUACCUGGAUGGGCGACUGCUUGGGAAUACAAGGUGCU